This 207-nucleotide long non-coding RNA is filed under the name Vigna radiata. RNAcentral describes it as "long non-coding RNA (VRAD_LNC010732)". The record is from RNAcentral. Lineage: Eukaryota; Viridiplantae; Streptophyta; Magnoliopsida; Fabales; Fabaceae.
GAUAGUUCGACAUAUAUUAAUGGACGAUGACAUUACCGUAAAUAAGUUGGUAAACAAGACGUCGGUUUCUAGGACAAACGACGUCUAUAAUACAAUAGACGUCUAUUUUGCCCUAACCAGAUGUCUAAGGGCCUGAGGUAGGCGAGAAGACAGUCUUUUCUAUCCCAUUGAUGUCGGUUGUGAGGGGGGCAGACUUCUAUCUGGCUG